AUGUACCCACGUACACUCCGGUUCCUCCGCGCCGUCCGCACUCACCUGACGACUGCUCGCUACGUUUUGUUAGCG
This 75-nucleotide small RNA is filed under the name Xanthomonas campestris pv. campestris. RNAcentral's name for it is "sX9 sRNA". It matches the Rfam family "Xanthomonas sRNA sX9". The record is from RNAcentral. Lineage: Bacteria; Pseudomonadati; Pseudomonadota; Gammaproteobacteria; Lysobacterales; Lysobacteraceae.